RNAcentral lists this long non-coding RNA (8976 nucleotides) under Zostera marina. RNAcentral describes it as "long non-coding RNA (ZMAR_LNC004674)". The record is from RNAcentral. Lineage: Eukaryota; Viridiplantae; Streptophyta; Magnoliopsida; Alismatales; Zosteraceae.
CGAUUUCCAUCUUGAGUUAUGGCAGGAAUUGGAUCAAGCACAUCUGGUGCUGGAAGUGCAGCUGUGACAGCAAGGAUCGAAAUUCUUCAAAUGAUGUACAGUAUUGCGUCACUCUGUCCCACACCUCUUUCAGAAGGGAAUUAUCUAGUAUGGAAAAAUCAAUUUGAAGGUGCAUUGCAAAUACAUAAUUUGUUAGAUUUUGUUUCUGGAAAACUUGGGACUCCGGCUCUAAGAUUAAGUGAUGGCUCUGAAAAUCCGGCAUAUGCGUCUCACAAGAGGAACGAUGGCAUAGUGCUCAGCUGGAUUAAAGCCACGGUAUGUAAGGAAAUUCAGCCUCUACUUUUACCUUGUGUUACUACAUAUGAGGCAUGGCAUAUCUUAGAAACAGAUAUUUCUCCUAUUGAUAAAAAUCAAAUUUAAGCUCUUCGUGAUGAGUUGAAUUCACUAAGGAAGACAAUAGAUAUUUCAAUGAAAGAAUAUAUUUUCAAGAUUAAGAGUUUGAAACACUCUCUAGCAGCAGCAGGAUAUUCAAUGUCUGAUGAAAGAGUGUCAGAGUAUGUUCUCAGAGGUCUUGGACCUGAAUUCCGUAUGUUUAGGAUAUCUCUGAAUUUUCAGAAGGAUAUUACUUUUACAGAACUUGCAGAUGCUCUUAUUAAAGAAGAAAUUUUGAUGAAACAACUGGAUCAACCAACAACUGAAGGGGAUUAUCAGGUGCAUUAUUCCAAUUAUAAUAAGAAUAAUUUCAAUAGAAAUGCUAAAUUUUAUCCAGGAAAAGGCAAGAAUGGUGGUUCUUAUUAUAAACCAUCAUACAAAAAUCAAGGAACAAAGGUCAUAACUGUUCCUUCUCAAAUUGCUCGGAAUAAUUUGCCUCCCAUUCUGAAUCUACCAUCUUCACAGGACAACACAUCUGCGUGUCAGAUUUGUGAGAAAAAAGGAUAUCUGGCUAGAAAUUGCCCAGAUAGAGGUAAUUUUGCUGCCUAUGCCAUGGAGGAUGAUUAUGAUACUCAGAUAACUGGAAAUGAAGAAGAAGCAGCAGCACAUUCUGUAACAGUCCAAGAUCUGGAUUGGUGUCUUGACUUAGGAGCUACUAAUCACAUGGUAGCUGAUGAAGCUUUGCUCCAUGACUGCCAGACCUAUACAGGUAUUGGGUGUGUUGUGAUUGGAUCUGGAGAUAGAUUAGUAAUUUCUAAAAUAGGAAAGUUAGACUUUGAAGUACAUUCAAAGGUUUAUACACUUAAUAGAGUUUUAUGUGUGCCGAAGAUUAAAAAAAAUCUAAUUUCUGUGACUAAACUAUGUAGUGAUUUGAACUGUUAUAUACAGAUUUCACAGAAGGAAUUUUCAGUGAAGAGCCUGAAGAUGCAUCAGACGCUUUUUUCUGGAAUUAAUAAAAGAGGGCUAUACUAUUUCAGCCCGGACAUCAACUGUAAUUUGGGUAUCAAGGUCUCUUCAGAUACAUGGCACAAGAGACUAGGACAUCCUUCUCUCAAAAUUAUGAAUAAAAUAGGACAUGUAUUAGGAUUAAACAAUUCAGAUUUAAAAUCUUUAGAAUUUUGUAAUAACUGCCCUAUGACAAAAAUGUCGAAAUUACCUUUUUCUUGUAAUGAAAUAAAAACUUCUUUUCCAUUGGAGAUAAUACAUAUAGAUCUAUGGGGUCCAGCCCCAAUUGUUUCAAUAAAAAAUUAUAAUUUUUUUGCAACAAUUGUAGAUAAUAAAACAAGGUAUACAUGGAUUAUACCAUUAAGGGCUAAAAAUGAAUUUACUGAUCAGUUUAUUCUAUUUCAGAAAAAUAUAGAAAACCAGUUAGGGCUAAAAAUUAAGAAAAUUUAUGCAGAUGAGGGUGGUGAAUUUCUUAGUACCAAGCUGAAAACUUGGCCAGGACAAAAAGGAAUAACACAUAGAUUCUCAUGUCCCUAUACACCUCAACAAAAUGGGAUUGUUGAGAGGAAACAUAGACACCUGCUUGAGACCAGCAGAUGUUUUUUUACUCAAUCCGGAAUUCCAAAAAAUAUGUGGCCAGAGGUCAUCUCUGCAGCAUGUUUUCUGAUAAAUAGGUUACCUAGUUCUGUUUUAGGGUUCAUAUCUCCCUUUGAGAUGUUAACCAAAAAUAAACCAGAUUAUAAAAUACUGAAAUUAUUUGGUUGUUCAUGUUAUCCCUUAAUAAAUAAAGGAUUAAGGAAUAAAUUUGAACCUACUGCCUAUAAAUGUGUCUUUAUAGGGUAUUCAAACAAACACAAAGGAUAUAUGUGUUUAAAGUUAGAAGAUAAUAAAGUCAUUAUAUCUCGAAAUGUCAAAUUUAAUGAAAAUGAGUAUCCUUUUUUAACUAAAACAGAUACUAAAACAGUAAAGAAGCCUGAAAAGCAAAUGAUAAUACUUCCAAGACUAGCUACUACAAUAAAUUUUGGCUUUCCUAUAAAUACAGGAAACUCAAACAGUGAGUUAAGGGUAGAACCAAAUUUGUCAAGUCAUGUAAGGAGAGUCACUCACAACAGAAUAACUCUACAAAUGACUCAAUGGAUAUAAUCUCAGAGUCAACUGAGAUAAGUAGCUCAGUACCCCAGACCAUGAGAGUUGAGUCUGAUAUGCAAUCUAACACUAGAAGUGAGACAAGACAACAAAGAGAUAUUUCUGAGAAUCAAACAAACACAGUUUGUAACUCAAUAUCACGAGAUAUAAGUAGUAGAUCUGAAGAACCAAUCAACAUAGGAGUUAGAUAUCCGACUAGAGAUAGAAAAGCACCAAAGUUUUUAGAAAACUAUGAGUGUAAUUCUUGCUCUGGCGAAGAGAUAGAACCAUCCACCUUCAGUGAGGCAAGUAAAGAACCUAAGUGGAAGGAGGCAAUGCAAGAGGAACUAGAUGCAUUGAAAGUUAACAAAACAUGGACUUUAGUACCAAAAAAUUCGUCAAUGAAUAUAGUAGGUUGUAAGUGGGUCUAUAAAAUUAAAAAGAACUCAGAUGAUUCAAUAGAANNNNNNNNNNNNNNNNNNNNNNNNNNNNNNNNNNNNNNNNNNNNNNNNNNNNNNNNNNNNNNNNNNNNNNNNNNNNNNNNNNNNNNNNNNNNNNNNNNNNUACAGUCCAGUAAUUAGGAUGAACACAGUAAGAUCAAUCAUUUCAAUUGCUGUGACAUAUAACUGGCAGCUAAGACAACUGGAUAUCAAAAAUGCCUUCCUAAAUGGCUUUCUAAACGAAACAGUAUACAUGAGACAACCAACUGGGUUUCAUAAUAAGAGUUAUCCAGAUCAUGUGUGUCUAUUACAUAAGGCUCUAUAUGGCUUAAAACAAGCACCCAGAGCUUGGUACUCAAGACUUCAAAAUUUUCUAGUUGAAAACGAAUUCAAAAAUAGUCUUACAGAUUCUUCAUUGUUCCUCAAAGUGAACAAUGGACAUAGAAUCUACAUACUAGUCUAUGUAGAUGAUAUUAUAAUUACUGGGGAUUCUAGUGAGGAAGUAAAUAGGUGCAUAGAAUUAAUAUGUAAACAAUUUUCAUGUAGAGACCUAGGGCUUCUUAACUAUUUUUUAGGAAUGGAAUGUAUAAGACAAGGGAAAACCAUAAUUCUAAGUCAAGAAAAAUAUGUGUCUGAUAUAUUGAAAAAAUUCAAUAUGAUGGAAUGCACACCAUGUAGGAUACCAAUGGUUCAAAAUCCAAGACUAAAUAAAAAUUCAGGGACUCCUAUAGAAAACAAUACAAUAUACAGAAACAUUGUAGGGUCCUUACAAUAUCUAACUAUGACUAGACCUGAUAUUGUCUUUUGUGUGAAUCAUCUUAGUCAGUUUCUACAAACACCAACUGAUGUACAUCUUAGUUUUGCUAAGAGGAUGCUAAGAUAUAUCAAGGGAUCUUCUAACCUAGGACUGAGAUUUACACCUUCAGUCAAACCAGUAAAUUCUUUGAUAGCCUACUGUGAUUCAGACUGGGCAAAUGAUACUGAUGAUAGGAGAUCAGUUUCUGGAUUCAGCAUCUGGUUUGCUGGAAAUUUGGUAGCCUGGGCAUCAAAGAAACAAGCAGUGGUAUCAAAAUCGAGUUGUGAGGCUGAAUACAGGGCACUAUCUGGGAUAACUUCAGAAGUUAAGUGGUUCUGUAAUUUGUUUAGGGAACUGGAGAUUAGGUUUGAGACAGCUCCACAAAUAUUAUGUGAUAAUAAAUCAGCAAUUUUUCUCACUAAAAAUCCAUCAUCAAACCUGAAAACUAGACAUAUAGAUAUCUCACACCAUUUUAUUAGAGAGCUGGUGAUGAAAGGGGCAAUAAAAGUGGAUUAUAUUGCUGCUAGUCAACAACUAGCAGAUGGUUUCACUAAAGUACUGGGAACAGGGCAAUUUAUGGUUCAUAGGGAUAGACAUAAACUAGUACCAACCAGUCCUGAUCCUAGAAUCAUAAUGAAGGACAAGAAUAGGCUAACAAAAUCGCAAGACAUAAGUAAACCAAAGCUAAUUAAGGAGGCUUAGGAGAAUGACUAUAUAAGGGAGACUAUAAUACUGGAUAUUAGUUUAGAUAUAUAAUAAUAAUAAUAAUAAUGAAAAUACUGAGGUGUUGUAUUUCUGAUUUCUGUUCUUAUAGUAAUACUUGUAUUCAUAUUAGGAAAUGUUAGAUAAAUAUGAUGUUGAAAAUUGCAGGGUGAUAAUCUGAAAUAUAUUCUAAAACUAUUUCUAGUUUUGGUUUGAUACAUAAUUUUGUCUGUUUGUUAAGGAAUGGUCUAUAUUUUUCUGUUUUUGGUUUGUGGGAAUGGCUACUGUGGAUGUAUGUUUGUGUGGUUGCAGGUCAUGCUAAGAUAGGUCAUGCCCAAAUAACUGGAAAUUUAAUCUGGAGCAGAAAAUGUGGAAUCUAGAGCAGCAGGAGCUUUGAGAAUGAGCAGCGAUUUUUUUUGUUUUGUUCUUUCUUUCAGGGUCUUAAUUGGUAUAACAGGAGGGUUUUCCCAGUAAAAAUGAAAGAAAGAGGAGCAAAAAUAAGAAUCCCAGCUGGGUUUUUCGCCCUACCUGUUAGCUCAAUUAAUUCAUAGCUGAGUUAGUUCACAAGACUACUAAGGAGGUGGACAGACAAGCUGAUGAUCAUACUCAUGUUCAAAUUCACAACUCAGGAUUGCAUUCUGGAGUUGUCAAUUUGCGGGGGAAUGUAAAGAGUUAAAAAUACUAUAAGGGGUUUUGUAUAAAUGUACCCAUAAUAUUAAGUAUAAGUAUAGGCUUUGUGUAAUGAUUAGUUAAGUUGAAUGUUAUAAUUCUUGAGUGUCAAUUAAAGAGUUUACUCUUUCUUCUUCUUGUUUUGACCUAACGACUUCAUUCUCCCCCUUUCUUCUAUCUUCUUCUUCUAUCAAUUUCUUGUUGAUGAUUCAGUGAAUGGAAACCUCUCCAGAUUUCUACAUGGUAUCUAGAGCUUUGUGAUUCGAUUGGGGCAUCUGGGCGUUAGGGCACGGCGAGCGCGGAAUCUUCUCAGCGUGAUUUCUUCUCGGCGUGAAUUGGAGCGGUUCCUGUUCUGUUCUUUUCUUUUCUUCCCGGCUACAGCGCGUGGUCUUUCUCUUCUCUUCUCGGCUGGCGUGGUCUUUCUUCUCGGCUGGCGUGGUCUUUCUUCUCGGCUGGCGUGGUCUUUCUCUUCUCUUCUCGGCGGCGUGAAUUUCUGGGUCUUUUCUUCUCGGCUGGCGUGGUCUUUCUUCGGCUACAGCGUGGUUCUUCUCGCCGAUUGAUUGCAAUCUGCGAUUGCAACUCUGGUUUGAAUUUUUUAUUUUUUAUUUAUUUCAUUUUUCUGUUAUCUGCAAUUGCAAGUUAUUGAACCAUUGAUUUCCAAAUUUUUUAAUUAGAUUCUGUUUGUGUUUGGAUUGAUCUGUAAGUCUGAAUUUGUUUGUGUUUGAUUUGCGUUAGAUUACGUGUUACAUUUGAUUUCAAUUUUUCAGAUUUUGUGUUCAUUGAUUUCAAUUUUUUUUUUAGAACCCAAAACGGUUGCUUGUGUCAUUGAUCCCUGGCAUUUUAUCGAUUUCUUCUAUUUCUCAUCUCGUUUUCGCCUCGUUGUUUCGUUGCUUGUUCCCCUAUAGUUUUAUUUGAUUUCGUUGGAAACUCCCUAUCAGUCUGCUAGUUUCUUUAAUCCUACUCGGUCGUUCUUUUCCAAUAGUUCAUUUGAGUGCGAUUAAAAUCUGUUUUGGGUUUACAGAUUACCUGUUAGUUUUGUUUGAGUUUACAAUAUUUUUUUUUUUUUAAUUUUCUCAUUUGAUUUAAUCUGUUUACAGAUUUGUUUUGCAUUUGAUUUCUGCGUUUUUAUCUGUUAGUAUUUUACUGAUAUUUUUUUUGCUGACAUCGAUUUGGUAUUUUCUUCUUCUUUAUUUGCCUGUUAGUAUUUGGUAUUUGGUAUUUUACUGUUAGUAUUCUUCUUCUUCUUAAAUUUUAGUUUUUUUUUUUUUUAUUUUUUUUUUUCUUUCUUUAAAUUUUGUCAUAGAUCUGUCGAUCUGUCAUCGAUCUGACAUUUUCUGUUUUUGGUUUAUGUUUUUUGUUGUUGUUGUUUGGUAAUUGAUUUCAUUGAUUUCAUCAAAUUUGUUGUUGUUUUUAGUUGUUUGUUUUUGCUGGUUAUUAAAUUUAAUUCUGAAUAAUUGCAUGCACAUAACUACAUUUUGUUUGCUUGUGUUGCAUACUAAUUAUAAAUUGUUUUUUUUUUGUUUUGUUGUUUUUGUUGUUUGGUAAUUGAUUUCAUUGAUUUCAUCAAAUUUGUUGUUGUUUUUAGUUGUUUGUUUUUGCUGGUUAUUAAAUUUAAUACUGAAUAAUUGCAUGCUAAAUCACAUAUGAAUUUAUCAGAUUGCAUGCUAAUAAAAAUAAUAAUAAUAAAUAAAUAAAAACAAAUAUCUGAUUGUGUAGUUUCUACCCACUUGAAAGUAGAUCAUAACUACAUUUUCUACUCAAUCGAUCGAUUGUGUAGUUUAUAGUUUGCUUGUAGUUGUAAAUUACAAUUGCCCAAGUGGUUAAUUGUUAUUUUGUUUGUGACGCAAGGAGCUGGUUUUUUUUUCUGGAUCUGCGAAUCAGCUUCUGUAAUCAUUGUUUUCUGUUGAGUGGCGAUUUCCAUCUUGAGCUAUGGCAGGAAUUGGAUCAAGUACAUCUGGUGCUGGAAGUGCAGCUGUGACAGCAAGGAUCGAAGUUCCUCAAAUGAUGUAUAGUAUUGCGUCACUCUGUCCCACACCUCUUUCAGAAGGGAAUUAUCUAGUAUGGAAAAAUCAAUUUGAAGGUGCAUUACAAAUACAUAAUUUGUUAGAUUUUAUUUCUGGAAAACUUGGGACUCCGGCUCUAAGAUUAAGUGAUGGCUCUGAAAAUCCGGCAUAUGCGUCUCACAAGAGGAACGAUGGCAUAGUGCUCAGUUGGAUUAAAGCCACGGUAUGUAAGGAAAUUCAGCCUCUACUUUUACCUUGUGUUACUGCAUAUGAGGCAUGGCAUAUUUUAGAAACAGAUAUUUCGCCUAUUGAUAAAAAUCAAAUUCAAACUCUUCGUGAUGAGUUGAAUUCACUAAGGAAGACAACAGAUAUUUCAAUGAAAGAAUAUAUUUUCAAGAUUAAGAGUUUGAAACACUCUCUAGCAGCAGCAGGAUAUUCAAUGUCUGAUGAAAGAGUGUCAGAGUAUGUUCUCAGAGGUCUUGGACCUGAAUUCCGUAUGUUUAGGACAUCUCUGAAUUUUCAGAAGGAUAUUACUUUUACAGAACUUGCAGAUGCUCUUAUUAAAGAAGAAAUUUUGAUGAAACAACUGGAUCAACCAACAACUGAAGGGGAUUAUCAGGUGCAUUAUUCCAAUUAUAAUAGGAAUAAUUUCAAUAGAAAUGCUAAAUUUUAUCCAGGGAAAGGCAAGAAUGGUGGUUCUUAUUAUAAACCAUCAUACAAAAAUCAAGGAACAAAGGUCAUAACUGUUCCUCCUCAAAUUGCUCGGAAUAAUUUGCCUCCCAUUCUGAAUCUACCAUCUUCACAGGACAACACAUCUACGUGUCAGAUUUGUGAGAAAAAAGGACAUCUGGCUAGAAAUUGCCCAGAUAGAGGUAAUUUUGCUGCCUAUGCCAUGGAGGAUGAUUAUGAUACUCAGAUAACUGGAAAUGAAGAAGAAGCAGCAGCAUAUUCUGUAACAGUCCAAGAUCUGGAUUGGUGUCUUGACUCAGGAGCUACUAAUCACAUGGUAGCUGAUGAAGCCUUGCUCCAUGACUGCCAGACCUAUACAGGUAUUGGGUGUGUUGUGAUUGGAUCUGGAGAUAGAUUAGUAAUUUCUAAAAUAGGAAAGUUAGACUUUGAAGUGCAUUCAAAGGUUUAUACACUUAAUAGAGUUUUAUGUGUGCCUAAGAUUAAGAAAAAUCUAAUUUCUGUGACUAAACUAUGUAGUGAUUUGAACUGUUAUAUACAGAUUUCACAGAAGGAAUUUUCAGUGAAGAGCCUGAAGAUGCAUCAGACGCUUUUUUCUGGAAUUAAUAAAAGAGGGCUAUACUAUUUCAGCCCGGACAUCAACUGUAAUUUGGGUAUCAAGAUCUCUUCAGAUACAUGGCACAAGAGACUAGGACAUCCUUCUCUCAAAAUCAUGAAUAAAAUAGGACAUGUAUUAGGAUUAAACAAUUCAGAUUUAAAAUCUUUAGAAUUUUGUAAUAACUGUCCUAUGGCAAAAAUGUCGAAAUUACCUUUUUCUUGUAAUGAAAUAAAAACUUCUUUUCCAUUGGAAAUAAUACAUAUAGAUCUAUGGGGUCCAGCCCCAAUUGUUUCAAUGAAAAAUUAUAAAUUUUUUGCAACAAUUGUAGAUAAUAAAACAAGGUAUACAUGGAUUAUACUAUUAAGGGCUAAAAGUGAUUUUACUGAUCAGUUUAUUCUAUUUCAGAAAAAUAUAGAAAACCAGUUAGGGCGAAAAAUUAAGAAAAUUUAUUCAGAUGAGGGUGGUGAAUUUCUUAGUACCAAGCUGAAAACUUGGCUAGGACAAAAAGGAAUAACACAUAGAUUCUCAUGUCCCUAUACACCUCAACAAAAUGGGAUCGUUGAGAGGAAACAUAGACAC